UUGAACGCUGGCGGCAUGCUUUGCACCUGCAAGUCGGACGGCAGCACAGAGAAGCUUGCUUCUUGGGUGGCGAGUGGCGAACGGGUGAGUAAUAUAUCGGAACGUACCGAGUAAUGGGGGAUAACUAAUCGAAAGAUUAGCUAAUACCGCAUAUUCUCUGAGGAGGAAAGCAGGGGACCUUCGGGCCUUGCGUUAUUCGAGCGGCCGAUAUCUGAUUAGCUAGUUGGUGGGGUAAAGGCCUACCAAGGCGACGAUCAGUAGCGGGUCUGAGAGGAUGAUCCGCCACACUGGGACUGAGACACGGCCCAGACUCCUACGGGAGGCAGCAGUGGGGAAUUUUGGACAAUGGGCGCAAGCCUGAUCCAGCCAUGCCGCGUGUCUGAAGAAGGCCUUCGGGUUGUAAAGGACUUUUGUCAGGGAAGAAAAGGCUGUUGCUAAUAUCGACAGCUGAUGACGGUACCUGAAGAAUAAGCACCGGCUAACUACGUG
This 489-nucleotide ribosomal RNA is filed under the name uncultured bacterium. Its description in RNAcentral is "partial 16S ribosomal RNA". It matches the Rfam family "Bacterial small subunit ribosomal RNA", at positions 30 to 507 of the family's 1533-position model. The record is from RNAcentral.